CAUAAUCUCUGAGGAGAAAAGCAGGGGAUCGCAAGACCCUGCGCUUUUGGAGCGGCCGAUGUCUGAUUAGCUAGUUGGUGAGGUAAAGGCUUACCAAGGCUUCGAUCAGUAGCUGGUCUGAGAGGACGACCAGCCACACUGGGACUGAGACACGGCCCAGACUCCUACGGGAGGCAGCAGUGGGGAAUUUUGGACAAUGGGGGCAACCCUGAUCCAGCCGUGCCGCGUGAGUGAAGAAGGCCUUCGGGUUGUAAAGCUCUUUCAGCCGGAACGAAACGGUCACGGUUAAUAACUGUGAUCACUGACGGUACCGGAAGAAGAAG
This 323-nucleotide ribosomal RNA is filed under the name uncultured beta proteobacterium. Its description in RNAcentral is "bacterial SSU rRNA". It matches the Rfam family "Bacterial small subunit ribosomal RNA", at positions 172 to 490 of the family's 1533-position model. Lineage: Bacteria; Pseudomonadati; Pseudomonadota; Betaproteobacteria. The record is from RNAcentral.